UCUGGGACAAGCCCUGGAAACGGGGUCUAAUACCGGAUAUGACGCGUUCCCGCAUGGGAUACGUGUGGAAAGCUCCGGCGGUGCAGGAUGAGCCCGCGGCCUAUCAGCUUGUUGGUGGGGUGAUGGCCUACCAAGGCGACGACGGGUAGCCGGCCUGAGAGGGCGACCGGCCACACUGGGACUGAGACACGGCCCAGACUCCUACGGGAGGCAGCAGUGGGGAAUAUUGCACAAUGGGCGCAAGCCUGAUGCAGCGACGCCGCGUGAGGGAUGACGGCCUUCGGGUUGUAAACCUCUUUCAGCAGGGAAGAAGCGUGAGUGACGGUACCUGCAGAAGAAGCGCCGGCUAACUACGUGCCAGCAGCCGCGGUAAUACGUAGGGCGCAAGCGUUGUCCGGAAUUAUUGGGCGUAAAGAGCUCGUAGGCGGCUUGUCGCGUCGGAUGUGAAAGCCCGGGGCUUAACUCCGGGUCUGCAUUCGAUACGGGCAGGCUAGAGUUCGGUAGGGGAGAUCGGAAUUCCUGGUGUAGCGGUGAAAUGCGCAGAUAUCAGGAGGAACACCGGUGGCGAAGGCGGAUCUCUGGGCCGAUACUGACGCUGAGGAGCGAAAGCGUGGGGAGCGAACAGGAUUAGAUACCCUGGUAGUCCACGCCGUAAACGUUGGGAACUAGGUGUGGGCGACAUUCCACGUUGUCCGUGCCGCAGCUAACGCAUUAAGUUCCCCGCCUGGGGAGUACGGCCGCAAGGCUAAAA
Molecule: ribosomal RNA, 751 nt
Filed under: Streptomyces malaysiensis
Lineage: Bacteria; Bacillati; Actinomycetota; Actinomycetes; Kitasatosporales; Streptomycetaceae
Description: bacterial SSU rRNA
Rfam family: Bacterial small subunit ribosomal RNA
Source: RNAcentral